GAAUGUUAUCACGGGAGACACACGGCGGGUGCUAACGUCCGUCGUGAAGAGGGAAACAACCCAGACCGCCAGCUAAGGUCCCAAAGUCAUGGUUAAGUGGGAAACGAUGUGGGAAGGCCCAGACAGCCAGGAUGUUGGCUUAGAAGCAGCCAUCAUUUAAAGAAAGCGUAAUAGCUCACUGGUCGAGUCGGCCUGCGCGGAAGAUGUAACGGGGCUAAACCAUGCACCGAAGCUGCGGCAGCGACGCUGAUGCGUUGUUGGGUAGGGGAGCGUUCUGUAAGCCUGUGAAGGUGGCCUGUGAGGGUUGCUGGAGGUAUCAGAAGUGCGAAUGCUGACAUAAGUAACGAUAAAGCGGGUGAAAAGCCCGCUCGCCGGAAGACCAAGGGUUCCUGUCCAACGUUAAUCGGGGCAGGGUGAGUCGACCCCUAAGGCGAGGCCGAAAGGCGUAGUCGAUGGGAAACGGGUUAAUAUUCCCGUACUUGGUGUUACUGCGAAGGGGGGACGGAGAAGGCUAUGUUGGCCGGGCGACGGUUGUCCCGGUUUAAGCGUGUAGGUAGG
RNAcentral lists this ribosomal RNA (558 nucleotides) under Salmonella enterica. Its description in RNAcentral is "partial 23S ribosomal RNA". It matches the Rfam family "Bacterial large subunit ribosomal RNA", at positions 967 to 1528 of the family's 2925-position model. Lineage: Bacteria; Pseudomonadati; Pseudomonadota; Gammaproteobacteria; Enterobacterales; Enterobacteriaceae. The record is from RNAcentral.